UUUGUUUGUGUGUGUGUGUGUGUGUGUGCACGCGCACACGCGCGCACACACUAUA
Molecule: microRNA precursor, 55 nt
Filed under: Dipodomys ordii (Ord's kangaroo rat)
Lineage: Eukaryota; Metazoa; Chordata; Mammalia; Rodentia; Heteromyidae
Description: miRNA (ENSDORG00000021277.2)
Source: RNAcentral